GACGAACGCUGGCGGCGUGCUUAACACAUGCAAGUCGAACGGAAAGGCCCUGCUUUUGUGGGGUGCUCGAGUGGCGAACGGGUGAGUAACACGUGAGUAACCUGCCCUUGACUUUGGGAUAACUUCAGGAAACUUGGGCUAAUACCGGAUAGGAGCUCCUGCUGCAUGGUGGGGUUUGGAAAGUUUCGGCGGUUGGGGAUGGACUCGCGGCUUAUCAGCUUGUUGGUGGGGUAGUGGCUUACCAAGGCUUUGACGGGUAGCCGGCCUGAGAGGGUGACCGGCCACAUUGGGACUGAGAUACGGCCCAGACUACUACGGGAGGCAGCAGUGGGGAAUAUUGCACAAUGGGCGGAAGCCUGAUGCAGCAACGCCGCGUGCGGGAUGACGGCCUUCGGGUUGUAAACCGCUUUCGCCUGUGACGAAGCGUGAGUGACGGUAAUGGGUAAAGAAGCACCGGCUAACUACGUG
RNAcentral lists this ribosomal RNA (468 nucleotides) under uncultured bacterium. RNAcentral describes it as "partial 16S ribosomal RNA". It matches the Rfam family "Bacterial small subunit ribosomal RNA", at positions 28 to 507 of the family's 1533-position model. The record is from RNAcentral.